AACACCUGUAUUCUGGAUUGGCAGCAGAAGUUCUACGAAAAUGUAGAAGCAUGAGUGAAUUAAAACUUACAAGUUUCUCUACUAAAGUCAAUUCAUUCGUUAUUCAGUUCCAAGUCAUUUCACCUAAUAGUUCCACAUUUACAUUUCUUUUUAAGUCGUGUCUGGUUUGGGGCUGAUGGUUUUGUUCAGAAUACUGUUUUGGAUUUCUACUCAAUGUGUGGUGAGAAUGUGGGUAGUGUGCAUUGAAAGUGUUUGAAGAAAUGAGUGACAGAGAUGUUGUUUCUUGGAAUUACGUGGUUUGUGCUUAUACGAAUCAUGGUGAGGCGAAGUUGACCGUUGAGUUGUUUAAGUCUAUGGAAGAGAGAAAUGGAGUCGGCAAGGUGGUUGUUUGAAGAGUUGAUAAAUUGGAUUGCUGUGAUGAAGAAUGCUUGAUAAUGAAGUAGCUUGGAAUGCUAUGAUUUCUGAUUAUAUAAGGAAUGGUGAUGUGAAGAAUGCAAGGUUGAUUUUUAUCAAAUGCCGUGAAAUCUGUAGUUUCCUGUACUGCUAUGAUUUCAGGAUACACUAAAGUUGCUGAUAUCGGAGAUGAACAGCCUUUUCUAUUCAAUGUCAGUUAAGAAUGCAAUGGUUGGGGUUCUGUUCAGAAUCAUAAAUUUGAUCAAGCAUUGGAAGUUUUCCAUAGAAUUUUGAUGGGUGGUGAAUGUAAGCCGGAUGAGACUACUCUUUUGAGUGUUCUCUCCGCAUGUACUCACCUAGGUGCUCACGAACAAGGAAAAUGGAUCAAGUCUUAUAUUCAAAAGCUGGAUAUUGAAAUUUCUAAUUCAUUAGGGGAUGCCUUGAUAGACAUGUUUGCAAAAUGUGGUGAUCUUGAAAGCGCAAUGUCAAUGUUCAUUCAGAUGAGAAAUAAGUGAAUUGUCACAUGACAUGGACAUCAAUGGUUGCAGGCUUAGCCUUUAAUGGGCAGUUGAUAGAAGCUUUAACUCUCUUCGAUGAGAUGUGCGUGGAAAGAAUACAACCAGAUGAUGUCAUCUUCAUUGAUGUACUCUCCGCUUGCACUCAUGGGGACUGGUUGAAGAAGGAAAACGAGUUUUUAGUCAAAUGGUGCAACAGUUCAAUAUUGUUCCUUGAAUUGAGCAUUAUGGAUGCAUGAUUGAUCUUCUUAGUCGAGCAGGGAAAUUAGAGGAAGCAUACCCGUUAAUUACGAGUAUUGUCAAUGAAGCCAAAUGCCGCUCUUUGGGCUACUUUACUUGGUUUUUGUAAAUUGUAUGGACAAAGAGAGAUGUUAGAGGUUGUGGCAAAGAAUAUCCUCGAACUGGAGCCGUCAAAUCCUGCUUAUUUAAUAAUGCUGAUUUCAAAUUUGAAUGCAUCAUGUCGGCCGGUGGGAGCUUAAGGGUUAGAGAAGCAAUGAAGAAGGGUAUAGCAGCUCAAUGCAAGUGGAGCAUAGACAUCAAACAUGAAAAUAGGAUGGAGAUCUUUGAAACUUUACAUUCUCUCUAUGAUCAUUUGAAAACAGUAGGAAUUAUGGAAAAGAGAGAAAAUGUGCUUCUUGGUAUGGCUUAAUACACAGGGUUCAUAUGAGGAUUACUUGAGCAGAUAGAUGGUGGCAUGGUGCUAAAAGAUAUUGUUCAACUGGAAAGAAGUAUUUCUGCUUGAUCUCGAAACAGCUACUUCAGACUUCAGAGAUGAAGAAAUUUUUCACGAAUGGGAUAUUAGUGGUUAAAGAAAUUUUCUUUGAAAUUUCCCCAGAAAUAUAAUUUACAACUGCUAACCAAGAGUGCUCCAUGGUUUAGUAGACAAGUUUACUGAAGAGAUAGAAACUUCAAGGUAGACCUAAAAGAAGAAAAAGACUGCCAGACAGCUGAGCGAGGUUGUUGACAUGUUGACCCGUACCCUACAUACUUCUGAAGAACGCCUUCAGCUCUUUCUUUCGGUCAUAAUCAGCAGGGGUUCUUUACGUCACAAUGUCAAUUUUUGGUGAUUCUUGAACGGUCCAUCUCAGACGUUGACUCAUCAUCUUCAACGUCUUCCGUAAGAUGCUUUGCUAAGGAGUGAAAUUUGGUAAUCCCGACUAUUAAAUGUGUCAAAAUGAUACUCAACUGUGAUGGUUUGUUUGCUACAUGGUCCCACUUUGAAGUUGACGGAAUUCCAUGGUUCACCAAUCUAAAGAAACCCCAAGUCCCGGAUGCACGUCGAACUUCAUCAAUAUUUUCCUUGUGUCGGUGACGGUCAUCUUGGUCCACGCUUUCCAUAUCAUCACAGGAAUCUCG
Molecule: long non-coding RNA, 2264 nt
Organism: Papaver somniferum (opium poppy)
Lineage: Eukaryota; Viridiplantae; Streptophyta; Magnoliopsida; Ranunculales; Papaveraceae
Exons: 3
Source: RefSeq, a predicted model, not a curated record